UGGGGCAUGAACCUGGCAUACAAUGUAGAUUUCUGUGUUUGUUAGGCAACAGCUACAUUGUCUGCUGGGUUUCAGGCUACCUGG
Rattus norvegicus (Norway rat) is the source of this 84-nucleotide non-coding RNA. The record is from Rfam. NCBI's taxonomy places the organism in Eukaryota, Metazoa, Chordata, Mammalia, Rodentia, Muridae.